Molecule: non-coding RNA, 5310 nt
Organism: Caretta caretta (loggerhead turtle)
Lineage: Eukaryota; Metazoa; Chordata; Testudines; Cheloniidae
Source: RefSeq, a predicted model, not a curated record
GUGAGCGCCGCCAUCUUGUUUCUGUGGUUUUGCGGGAACAGCUGGCCUCCGUCGGGCGCUGCGCUGCUUUAGGUCUCCUGGCCCUUCCGCCCUCCUCCGCGUGGAGUUUGCGUGGGUGAUUCCCGAGAGCAUUGCAGGCUGGAAGUGCAGGCUCCCGCCAUGGUGAAGAUCUUCGUGGGAGGGGUCUCCCCUUCUGUCACAGUGGAUGAGCUGAAGAAGCUCUUUGAGCAGUAUGGACAGGUGAAUGAGUGUGACAUCCUGAAAAAUUUCGCCUUUGUGCACAUGGAGAAGGAGGACGAGGCCCACAAGGCCAUCAGCGAGCUGCACAAGCAGGAGUUCUACGGGGCCCACCUAACGGUGGAGUACGCCACCUCCAAGAUCCGUAACGCCACCAAGAUCUAUGUGGGCAAUGUGUCCAGCAAGGCCACGACAGCACAGAUCAAGGAGCUCUUUGAGAAGUUUGGCAAGGUGGUGGAGUGCGACAUUGUAAAGAACUAUGCCUUUGUCCACAUGGCCAAGGAGAGGGAAGCCAUGGAUGCCAUCUUGAACCUCAACGACAUGCCUCUGGAGGACCAGAAGAUCUUUGUAACGCUGUCCAAGAGCAACAACUCGCUCAAGACAACCAAGGGGACCUCUGUGCCACCUCCAACCCCCCCCAGCUACUACUUUCCCAGGGGGCGCAUCCCCCCGCCACCACCUCCGUAUACCCACUAUGCGCCCCGAUCUUGGUAUGACCGGGAAUAUUACGACCGCUAUGCCUAUGAGCUCUACAACCGGGCGAUGACUGCCAGGACAGCAUACGAGAGGGCCCUGCCACCUCCGCCCUCUACCCCCACCGCAUACAGAGAGAGGAGCCCUGUGGGCAGGCGGACGACCGCUGUGGUGGCCCAAUAUACUGAUCCCUACGCUGCCGCGGCUGCCGCCCAGACAUACAGCCAAGUGUACAACCAAACGGGUUAUGCAGCAGUGGCGGCUGCAGCCGCAGCAGCAGCUACCUACUCCCAGUACACCAUGGGUGCCACCUACAGUGCAGGGGAGUACUAUGAGAAAUACAGCAACGGCUAUGCCACUCAAUAUGCCCAGACGUACUAAUCUGACUGGGCUCAUAGUACCCGGUGCUCGGAGGCGUAAGGGGGAAAGGGAUCUCGGCUGCAAAGGUGCAGGCAGAGCUGAUUCAAGACAGCGCAAUGCCUUUAACCACCACCCUGCUGAAGGAAGCGUGAAGCCUCCACUACAAGCUUGAGAGCAGACUCUGGGCAGAACAUGGUCACCGGCUGGGGCCAGGAAUUGCACCCCCCCAUUGGUACAGCAUUGGGUAAUGCCUUCUAUUGAUGUGGGAUACAGAACUAGGUGGACCACUGGUGUGUGAGAGAAGUGAUAGAGAGACCCUUUCAUUCCCCCAGCAGCACGUCUGGGAGGUGAAGUGGGAGCAUCAGAAAAAAACAGUCGACAGGGUAAACGUCUCCCUCUGGCAUCUGUCCAUGGCAGACUGAGAUUGACCCUAUCCCAAAGAGACCUUACAUCAAGGUAACCCCCAGACCAGGAACUCUUUUGGCCUCAGAUGACAUGUCAGGGGAAGAGCAGGAUUUCUGGAGGACCCACCAAGCAUCCUGCUAGCAGAGGUGAAAGAUGACUUGAGGGAUUCCCUGAAGAUCUCCCAGUCUCUUCUCUCUAACCACUGUGAGCCUUAAACACCCAUGGGGACUCCAACCUGAGAUGAAGCAGGAGGUAAGCGCUUUUCUCCCCCCUUCCCUUUCACUCACACUCCAAGAGGAAGGAAUAGUCGUGUGCUUCUAUCACAGACAGCACAAGAUCUGGGUUCUGGUCCCUGGUUCUGGCACUGACCUCCGGGCAAGUCUGUGGAUCUCCUCUAUAAAAGGGGGAAGGGUUGAUUCAAGUUUGGUUAAGAUCUCCACUGGCUGAUGCUGAGUCAAGUAGUAUUAGAAAUCCCUGCCGCGGAGAGGUUAUGUUCUGAAAACAUGUGCCACCUGCCUUACUGUGGUAAUCUAAUUUAGGUCUUUAUAUGGUUCCCAUAGUGACUUGAUCACUGUCUGCAGCCGGGGUGGAGAUUUGAGAGUAGAGCAGUCUUUAAUCUCACAGACAAAGGCAGAACAAGAGCCAAUCGGUGGACGUUGAAACGAGACAAAUUCAGACUGGAAAUAAGACAGAUUUUUAACCCCGAGAGGAAUUAGCCAGUGAACAUAGGGACGUUGUGGAUUCUCCAUCACUUGGAGUCUUUAAGUCAAGACUGGCUCUCUUUCCUAAACCUGCACUGUACCUCACACAAAUUACAGGAGUGAUGCAGGAAAAGGGAUUCUCUGACCUAUAGUAUGCAGGAUGUGAACCUUGAUGAUCAGAAUGGGCCGUUCUGGUCUUCAAAGCAGUGAAUCAUUUCCGCAGUGUGUGAGCAUCUCAGUUUUGAAUAGAUUUAUCUUCCCAACACCUCUGUGAGGCAGGGCAACGCUGUUCUCCCCAUUUUACAGAUGGGGAAACUGAGGCACAAAGCAACUAAAUGACUCUGCCAAGUUCACGCAGACAGACUGGCAGAGCAGGGACUCAAACCCAGGUCUCCUGACUCCCAGUCCUGCACCUGAGCGUUAAGAUCAUUCUUCAUCUUCUAAGUUACGUAACAUUAGGGUUGCCUGCUUGAAGAAAUACAGACCCUUGGCUCUGGUUAGGUGGCCCUACUAGUGCCAUGAGCCCAGGCUCAGUGUGGGGUGAAUGCAGCCUAAGGUGAACAUACAGAUCUAGGGCAGCUGACAGUUCCCAGCUUCAAUUCCUUGGUACUACUGCAUCAAAAUGGGUGCGCUCUCCUCUUCCUCAUCAACCUGAAUAGGAAGGGGCAGAUUGAGGUAAACCCAGGCCUUUGGCACAACAGACCACCCACAACAUGAUCCGUGUGUGGAACGGCUUGGCGACGACGAGAACUGAAAGGAAGCCUGGAGCUGGGGAGCCUCCAGCUGAAAUUCUCUUCUCUUCUUACUCUCUCCUAGAGCAGAGCGGAUUGGGCCUUCUCUCUCUCUCUGUCUCUCUCUCUUUCCCUCCCAGCCCAACUCCACCAUCCCUUGUUCUCCGAAAGCAGCGAGCUCCAUCCCCGCCACAGUGCUCUGGAUGCUGUCGGAAGGCUCCCUGCUCGGUGAGAUUCUCCACACCUCCUGGCUGCUGGGUAACGGGCGACGGGCACAAACUCAGCCUUGGCCCAGCUCUGCCCGGGGAGAUCUGCAUGGAGCUAGGAGUUGGGAGAGGUCUUUCCCUGUGAUCACGACUGGUGCUUGGGGUGGGAUUGAUCUUUCAAGGUGUUGAGAACUCUCAUCACCUGGUGGGUGGGAUGCCGGCUUGUAAGGCUGGCAUGCUUUCUCCAUCUAGGGGUGUUGGGACAGGAGGGAAUUCUCUGGCGUAAAGAUCCAGGUUGUCCCAAUUUCCUUCUGGGUGAUAAAAUUCUUCCUGUAGCCUUUGGUUUGGGUGAGACUGGUGGGGGCAGCCUUGCAUCUUCGCUCUAUACCAAGGCAGCUCAGAUUUGGUGGGGCCUCUUCUCUGCCUCAGAAAGAUCUCUAAACCGCUGCUUCUAGGUGGGAGUCACCUUGCUUCCUUGUCUAACCCGGGGCCUUGACCAACACCACACCUUCCACAGCUUCCCUCCUUGAUCCCUGCCCCCUGACAUGGGGGGGUCCCGCAUCAGAGAUGGGGCCAACAGAGCUCGUGUGUGGGACGAGAACGGAGGCGUGUCUACCACCGGGUACCUUCAGCAGUAGUCUCGACUCCUUAUUCAUUGCAAUUGGCUCCAGCAGAGAAGAAUGGAGUGCGGGGACUGCAGGCUCCUCUGCAUUGGAUGAGCAUGGCGAGCUGCUCCUGAGGCUGAGCUGCUUCUGUGGUGGGAUAAUGGCCCAGUGGUGAGGAUGCUUGGGAGACCUGGGUUUAAUUCCCAGCUCUGCCACAGACUCCUGGUGUCACCUUGGGCAGGCCACUCUGUCUCGGUUUUCACCAUCUGGACAAUGGGGAUAAUAGCUCAACACUGCCUCAUGAUGGGGAGGAGGAAAAAGAGGUGAGGCUUCAAGGCACCCAAAUAAAGGCAAUCCCUGGCUCUUAUGAGCAGAUCUCAGAGCACAUUACAAAGCAGGUCAGAAUCAUGACACCCCCCCCCCCCCAUUCAGGGGAACUCUGAAGCACAGAGUGGAAACGUGAUUUGCCCAUGGUCACCCAGCAGGCCAGUGGCAGAGCCCCACUCUCCUGAGUCCUAGUCCCGUGCAUGAUCCCCUGGGCCACACAGGCUCUCCUAAUGGGGACCAGAUAAGUACCUUAGAUGGUCAGAAGUACAGAACAGUUGGUGUUAGAGGGCCACCUACCCCAGAGCAAGGAGAAGGGGAAUCCUAUAUAAUGGGAAAGGCUACUUCUGAAGCUAGACUGACUCCGCCUCCCACUUCUUCCAGUAGCCUUUUCUUCCUUCCCCUGGAAACAUGGAGCACAGUUCCCAGGCUAUGGGUGUGGUCAUAGGAUGGGGAUCUCCCAAAUGAUUGAUAGUCAGUGCCCUCCUAGGUACUAUUUCCUAGAACAUUGUUUACUCUGCUUGUCAGUAGCCUCGCUCCCAUGAGGAAAGUGAAAGUGUCAAGUGUUUUGUUUUGUUUUUAACUUUCCAUUGUCUGGCAUUCAGUCUCACAGUCCUUUAUCAGUGCCAGCAGUGCUGAGAACCUCCAGCUCCUGUACUUCAUAUGAGUUGGGGGCUGCUCUGCAUUUCUGAAAAACAGGUCACUUCCCCUCUCUGGCUCCUUUCUCCAGCCUCACUCCUGUGGAGGGUUGAAGGGCUGGUUCGUCUCUAACUCCUGAGAGUUGGAUCCCCUGUAGGUACAGGGGAGGGUGUUUGCUCUUUUGCUGAGAUAGAGAGGACUUCACUCUCCAGAGCUUGUACUCCACUAUCAGGUGCUAGUAUGAAAUUCAGUCCCAGAACGGAGAGGGCACCAAUUUUUGCACUGAUCAAAUAGCUCAAUCAGUUUCUCCAUCCUGGUUCCUGAAGGGCUUCUGUGGAGGAGGGAGGCUUGGAGGUGACAGCCAUAACCAGUGAAAUGAAGAAUGGCUACAAAUUUCCCUGCUACUGGUCAUUUGUGAUGCUACUGUAUUUCUCUGUGCUCACCACCUUGAAUAGCUACCUGGUUGUGCUGCAGAACCUCCUUCCAGCUGAGGGACGCAGAGGCAUUUGUACACCUUGCAUAGCACCAGCUUGGUGCUCUGCAGCUGUUGCAGCACCCUCUCUUUUCAGUAAAGGUAGACAGUGAGAUGUGUAAACAUAAAAAGAAAAGGAGGACUUGUGGCACCUUA